This 467-nucleotide ribosomal RNA is filed under the name uncultured archaeon. Its description in RNAcentral is "bacterial SSU rRNA". It matches the Rfam family "Archaeal small subunit ribosomal RNA", at positions 1 to 473 of the family's 1478-position model. The record is from RNAcentral.
UUCCGGUUGAUCCCGCCGGAGGUCACUGCUAUUGGGAUUCGACUAAACCAUGCGAGUCGAGAGGGUUCGGCCCUCGGCUGACGGCUCAGUAACACGUGGAUAAUCUGCCCUUAGGUGGAGGAUAAUCUCGGGAAACUGAGAAUAAUACUCCAUAGAUCUAGGAUGCUGGAAUGCACUUAGAUUAAAAGUUCCGACGCCUAAGGAUGAGUCUGCGGACUAUCAGGUUGUAGUCAGGGUAAAGACCUGACUAGCCUACAACGGAUACGGGUUGUGAGAGCAAUAACCCGGAGACGAUAUCUGAGACACGAUAUCGGGCCCUACGGGGCGCAGCAGGCGCGAAACCUUCACAAUGUGCGAAAGCACGAUGAGGGAAUCCCAAGUGCUUGCUCGUAAGAGUAAGCUGUUUUUAUGUCUAAAACGCAUAGAGAGUAAGGGCUGGGUAAGACGGGUGCCAGCCGCCGCGGUAA